This 1530-nucleotide ribosomal RNA is filed under the name Escherichia coli. RNAcentral describes it as "bacterial SSU rRNA". It matches the Rfam family "Bacterial small subunit ribosomal RNA". The record is from RNAcentral. Lineage: Bacteria; Pseudomonadati; Pseudomonadota; Gammaproteobacteria; Enterobacterales; Enterobacteriaceae.
AGAGUUUGAUCAUGGCUCAGAUUGAACGCUGGCGGCAGGCCUAACACAUGCAAGUCGAACGGUAACAGGAAACAGCUUGCUGUUUCGCUGACGAGUGGCGGACGGGUGCGUAAUGUCUGGGAAGCUGCCUGAUGGAGGGGGAUAACUACUGGAAACGGUAGCUAAUACCGCAUAACGUCGCAAGACCAAAGAGGGGGACCUUCGGGCCUCUUGCCAUCGGAUGUGCCCAGAUGGGAUUAGCUAGUAGGUGGGGUAACGGCUCACCUAGGCGACGAUCCCUAGCUGGUCUGAGAGGAUGACCAGCCACACUGGAACUGAGACACGGUCCAGACUCCUACGGGAGGCAGCAGUGGGGAAUAUUGCACAAUGGGCGCAAGCCUGAUGCAGCCAUGCCGCGUGUAUGAAGAAGGCCUUCGGGUUGUAAAGUACUUUCAGCGGGGAGGAAGGGAGUAAAGUUAAUACCUUUGCUCAUUGACGUUACCCGCAGAAGAAGCACCGGCUAACUCCGUGCCAGCAGCCGCGGUAAUACGGAGGGUGCAAGCGUUAAUCGGAAUUACUGGGCGUAAAGCGCACGCAGGCGGUUUGUUAAGUCAGAUGUGAAAUCCCCGGGCUCAACCUGGGAACUGCAUCUGAUACUGGCAAGCUUGAGUCUCGUAGAGGGGGGUAGAAUUCCAGGUGUAGCGGUGAAAUGCGUAGAGAUCUGGAGGAAUACCGGUGGCGAAGGCGGCCCCCUGGACGAAGACUGACGCUCAGGUGCGAAAGCGUGGGGAGCAAACAGGAUUAGAUACCCUGGUAGUCCACGCCGUAAACGAUGUCGACUUGGAGGUUGUGCCCUUGAGGCGUGGCUUCCGGAGCUAACGCGUUAAGUCGACCGCCUGGGGAGUACGGCCGCAAGGUUAAAACUCAAAUGAAUUGACGGGGGCCCGCACAAGCGGUGGAGCAUGUGGUUUAAUUCGAUGCAACGCGAAGAACCUUACCUGGUCUUGACAUCCACAGAACUUUCCAGAGAUGGAUUGGUGCCUUCGGGAACUGUGAGACAGGUGCUGCAUGGCUGUCGUCAGCUCGUGUUGUGAAAUGUUGGGUUAAGUCCCGCAACGAGCGCAACCCUUAUCCUUUGUUGCCAGCGGUCCGGCCGGGAACUCAAAGGAGACUGCCAGUGAUAAACUGGAGGAAGGUGGGGAUGACGUCAAGUCAUCAUGGCCCUUACGACCAGGGCUACACACGUGCUACAAUGGCGCAUACAAAGAGAAGCGACCUCGCGAGAGCAAGCGGACCUCAUAAAGUGCGUCGUAGUCCGGAUUGGAGUCUGCAACUCGACUCCAUGAAGUCGGAAUCGCUAGUAAUCGUGGAUCAGAAUGCCACGGUGAAUACGUUCCCGGGCCUUGUACACACCGCCCGUCACACCAUGGGAGUGGGUUGCAAAAGAAGUAGGUAGCUUAACCUUCGGGAGGGCGCUUACCACUUUGUGAUUCAUGACUGGGGUGAAGUCGUAACAAGGUAACCGUAGGGGAACCUGCGGUUGGAUCACCU